RNAcentral lists this long non-coding RNA (1028 nucleotides) under Salmo salar (Atlantic salmon). Its description in RNAcentral is "lncRNA (ENSSSAG00000108586.1)". Lineage: Eukaryota; Metazoa; Chordata; Actinopteri; Salmoniformes; Salmonidae. The record is from RNAcentral.
AGUCGGAGAGAAACACUGAGGAUACAGCCUUGUUGAAACUGUUAAAGACAGAACACAAUACAAUCUUAGGACUCAGGAUGUUGUAGUUGCCGAUAUAGAUAUUUCCUGAAUGGAUUUGAUGUCUUUAUAGAGGAUGGUGCAGUAAUCUGAGCAGCGUAUUUGCAUAUUUGUGCAGAUAGUGCAGCUAUAUCAUUACAGCCUCAUUAUACAAAACGAUGGACAACUGGAUUAAUUCCUCAAACUGACUGGAAUGGACUCCCAACCAUGCAUACAGGUGAAAAUGACAAGCCCAAACUGACCCCUUGACUUGACCUCUGAUAGGUCAGGGCUCAGAUUGGAAUUCCCCAAAAAAUACAGACCAGUCCAAACCCCUCAACAUGUCUUUCCCGGAACACUUCACGUCCCCCUUACCCCCCAGACCAGAGGCCAAACCCCGGCCCCCCAUCUCCAGAAAACCCCCUUCCUCCAAUGGAGCCCCCUCCACCCCCUCCCAGCUAGGAGAGAUGGGCAGCACAGCACACAAUUCGGGGGGGAAAGUCAACAGCAUUGUGAGUAAGUUCAGCCACCCAGAGACUACACCAACCACCAGUGGAGAUGCUACACUAACCACCAAUCCAACUCUCCGGACCCGAAGGCCCAGGAGGGCCCCCACAGUCAAACCCAAACCGACCCGGCCCUCCGUCCAGCAGUCUGGGGGUCCAGACCAGGCUCCUCCACUGCCCAUGAAUAGGAGCCGGAUCCUGCGGCAGGCCAAAAGAGAGACCCCUGGAGGAGAGGAGGGAAAUGGCAUCACAGUCAGUCAAUCAGCACCUGGCGGAAAGGAGGUAGAGCGAAAGCUGCAUGGAGGAGCGGAAGCAGAGGCGGAGCACAGUUCAGACACGCCCCUUAACCCAUGCUUCGACUGGGAAUGCAGCUGUGUUUGCCACAUCCACAUGCCCGGCAUGAAGCUGGUAUGGGUGCCCAUCGAUGAGGAAGAAGAAGAAGAUGAAAAGGAGGAGGAGGUUAAGCUGGAGGCGGAAACAGAGGAG